CACAACUUUAGUCAUCCAGGCUGGGGAUGUUGAAAUGGGAACCAGAAGCCAGGGCGGCUGACUGGCCACCUGAGGAACCUCAGGUUCACUCAAACCACAAGAAAACAGAUACCAGUUUUGGGAGUAGGAGACUCCCCUUCGGAAACGAGGAAGAGAGCCUCUCUGGUUCAGGCCCACUGGUGGAUGGUCAUCUUUAUGUGCAGCUGCGCAAAACUGGAGCAGGCAGACACCAGCAUGGUACUGCUUAAACUAUUAAGGGCAUGUCAUUGGUGGUACACUUUACAGUUAUCAAAUACUGAGGCUAGAUCAUGAAGGAACUAGAGGAUGAAUGGACAUUACCCCUGGAUGCUGGUCUUGAACACAGAUGCCGUAACCAUAAUCCUUCAGGUUGUCCAACUUCUGGAAUGGGGACAUCUCCAGACUUUUCCAGAGGCUUCCGUGUUUCUUGGCUUCAUGGUGCCCAGGCCGCCCUGGGUGAGAACAGUUGACUGGUCUGAACUCCGCUGGUCAAGGGCAUUUCGUCUCCCCUAUUCCAGGUGAAGCUGUUUUCAUCUUGGCCCCAGGAGCUUGUCCUCAUUUUCUGAGGCGACAGAAGAGGAACUGAGAACCCAAAUUCUUUGUGCAAUGCAGGCUCUCUGGGUGUCAAAUACCCAUAAAACCAUUGCAUCCCGGCCUCAAGGUGGUGGUAUUUGCCUCCCACUCUCAAAGGAACAUCUGGAAGCCUGAAUGGAGAAGGAGGGCUGAUCAGCCAUCAGCUCAGCUGGGGCAGUGUUCCCUGACCUGUCAGCUCUUCCCCUUCAGACCUCAGAGGAUAGAGAGGGUCAGCUGGCAACCUCCACUGAGCCUGUGAACCAGUCCCAGGAGCUUCUCCAGCAGGUGUUUGUCCUUAGGCGGAGAUGUUUCCUGGAUGCCUCACUCCUUUGCCUCUCAAGGAUAAAUGCCCCGAUGACAGAAACCCCCAGCCCCUGCCCAGUGACAGGAAGUGCUGACUUCAACACUGGGUCCUGCCAUUUACCAGAGAGCCCUUGAAGAAAAAAUCAAGAGGAGAAAGGCCCAAAAGAAAGAAAACACGGUGGGCCAGAAAAAUUUCAUCAGGCAGAUUGCUUCAAGAUGAAGACCAACCAGAGAAAAUAUUCCCAGGAGUUAAAAUACGCAGCACGUUUUAGAUACCAAUGACGGCGAUUUGCUUUCUCUUCAUUUCUGUCUUCACAUUGCUGACAACUCCCCUCAUUGUCUUAAAUAUGGAUUGCCAAAGUCAAUUAAAUACGCAAGAGGAACAUUGUACAUUUUGGAGGAAAGUAAUUAUUGUUACACCUUAGAGCAGCUUAAUGAAUACAUUAAUAAACGAUCCUUCGCCAUGUUUUUCUUUUCAUAGCCAUCAAAAUCUUUAUAAAACCUACAGCACAAUACAUAACAUCUCGUUACAAGAUUUGCUUUUAAAAAAAUCAAUGCAUACCUAA
This 1460-nucleotide long non-coding RNA is filed under the name Homo sapiens (human). RNAcentral's name for it is "HSALNT0225622". Lineage: Eukaryota; Metazoa; Chordata; Mammalia; Primates; Hominidae. The record is from RNAcentral.